AAAUUGAAGAGUUUGAUCAUGGCUCAGAUUGAACGCUGGCGGCAGGCCUAACACAUGCAAGUCGAACGGUAGCACAGAGAGCUUGCUCUCGGGUGACGAGUGGCGGACGGGUGAGUAAUGUCUGGGAAACUGCCUGAUGGAGGGGGAUAACUACUGGAAACGGUGGCUAAUACCGCAUAACGUCGCAAGACCAAAGAGGGGGACCUUCGGGCCUCUUGCCAUCAGAUGUGCCCAGAUGGGAUUAGCUGGUUGGUGAGGUAACGGCUCACCAAGGCGACGAUCCCUAGCUGGU
Molecule: ribosomal RNA, 292 nt
Filed under: Salmonella enterica subsp. enterica serovar Agona
Lineage: Bacteria; Pseudomonadati; Pseudomonadota; Gammaproteobacteria; Enterobacterales; Enterobacteriaceae
Description: partial 16S ribosomal RNA
Rfam family: Bacterial small subunit ribosomal RNA
Source: RNAcentral